CCUAGUAGCUGCGAGCGAACCGGGAAGAGUCCAGCGCCGAAUCCGGGUGCGCCUGCGCGCGUGCCUGGAAAUGUGGCGUAUGGGAGGCCGCGUGCCGUCGACGAAGUCCUUGGAGCAAGUCCCCUUGAUUGGGGCGAGCGUAAUGCGACCGAAGCGGGUGCGAGUCCCGUAGCCCUCGGUAACUGUCGGCGGAUGGCGGUCUCUCGUGAGUCGGGUUGCUUGAGAGUGCAGCCCUAAGAAAGGUGGUAAACUCCAUCUAAGACUAAAUACGACCUCGAGACCGAUAGCGAACAAGUACCGUGAGGGAAAGUUGCAAAGAACUUUGAAGAGAGAGUUCAAGAGUACGUGAAACUGUUCAGAGGAAAACGGGUGGGCGUUCGAACCCCCCCUCGGCGGUUACCCGGAUUCAGUCCGUCGCCUUUUUCCGGCGAGAAAUUAUCGGCGGUCGGUUGCUGCGCGAGUUCUUCGCGACUGGCGACGACGCGUCGGUUUUCUCGUUCUCGGGAUCGGUGGCGGACGCAUUUCCGCGGUUCCGCCCGAGUACAGGGCGCUGCGACCGAUCGGGCACCAAAGAGUGCCGGUCACGGGCGGAGUAAGCGGUUAGGAGUGCUGUUCGCGAGCGCGGAUUCGCGUCCGCGCGAGCGUCUGUCGCUCCUCCGGCUCGGCGUUAACCGUGGUCGGUCGUCCGAUCGGUGUGUGCUGAAGUGCAGUGGUGUGCGGUGCUCUCUCCGAUUUUUUUGUUGGUAGCGUGAGUUCGAGGCUGCAGUUUUCUGGUGGUUCCGCCGGUUCGCAGCGUCGCGUCUUCGGACGCGGACCGAGAAAAGCGUUCCGGGUCAGAGAACCUCGCGCCUCGUUUCGUCGACGCGAGGAGAGNNNNNNNNNNNNNNNNNNNNNNNNNNNNNNNNNNNNNNNNNNNNNNNNNNNNNNNNNNNNNNNNNNNNNNNNNNGACCAAGGAGUCUAACCCGUACGCGAGUCGUAGGGUCUUGCGUAGGCCCCGUGGCGUAGCGAAAGCAAAGUCGAGACAUUGGAUAACCGAAUAUAUCUUUUAGCAUCGGCGGCCCGGCGGUGCGGCCGGCUGGCACGGCCCGAUCGGGUCAAACCGAACGGCGAGUCGUGCCCGGCCCGUCGGAGUCCGAGCGUACGAGUUGGUACCCGAAAGAUGGUGAACUAUGCCCCGCCAGGGCGAAGUCGGAGGAAACUCCGGUGGAGGCCCGAAGCGGUUCUGACGUGCAAAUCGAUCGUCGGAGCGAGGUAUAGGGGCGAAAGACUAAUCGAACCAUCUAGUAGCUGGUUCCCUCCGAAGUUUCCCUCAGGAUAGCUGGCGCUCGCGAAACUCAGUCUCUCCUCGUAGAGAGAAUGAAUAGAGGCCCUGGGGCCCUAGACGACCUCAACCUAUUAUCAAACUGCUACGAGGUGCGUCGGCAGCGACUUGCUGACUUGAAGUCGCUGCGCCGUGGGAUGUGUGAGUGCCGUGUGGGCCACUUUUG
Molecule: ribosomal RNA, 1488 nt
Filed under: Afrarchaea fernkloofensis
Lineage: Eukaryota; Metazoa; Arthropoda; Arachnida; Araneae; Archaeidae
Description: partial 28S ribosomal RNA
Rfam family: Eukaryotic large subunit ribosomal RNA
Source: RNAcentral